CCGCUGUUUUAUGAUUGGUUAUGGUUGUUCUCUAAGUUUGAAUCUUGAAGUUGAUUGAAGCCAUCAGUGUUCUGUUCAAGAUGUCAUGCCAAAGUCAGAAACAAAACAAAGAAGGAACUGAUAUUCAUUGGAGAAAAAGUCUAAAGCUGUGAAAGACUGAAAGUGAUGCUCAACUAGAAACUAAACUUGGGGAAACCGAAAGCUAAUCAACUCUUUGUUUUAUUCAUCAGCUUAUAUGUUUACUUGUAUGAUUUACAGUUUUCUUUCAAUUUCACUUUAGACCUUACUGGAACAUGUUGUGCAUUUUAAUUUACUAACAAUGAACAGAAGCAUGGCCUUCAUAAAAAAACCUGUUGCAUUUCAAUUUCAAUUUUACAACUGAUAGUACCAUUCAGAAGUGAUGAAUGAAAUUAGCAUGACUCUGUUUUUGUGCUAAAAUUGAUUGUACCAGCAACAAAACUCUACCAAAUCUUUGCUGAAAAGGUCAAUCAAAAUCUUUGAAUUGAUUUAAAUGUAAUUGUAGCUACUUGGCCUUAAUGGUGCUCUUAAUUCUUCAUUGUUGCAAGGCAAUGCUAGCAAGUCAAAUUGUCCGCAUAAAUUCUUUUUGGAGCCUAAAGACUACCGCGGUGGUUAGAGUGAAGGUUCAGUUGAUUAACCCUCAAGUUGGGAAGAACGAGGCCAAGCUUCUGGACUGUGUUGUGGUCACUGAGCUCCGCGAAGCCCCUCUCUGCUUACUGCAGGGAAGUGGUGGUUUGGGGAAAGGACAUAACUUGGUAACUAGCAGCAGUUAACAGCAGCUUAUGAUCUUCCGACGUUGCAAAGUGUAGCUGAAUAGUCUGUUGCUGAUUUUUGUCUUCUUUUUUUUAUACUUUUUUUAAUUUUUUUUUUAAGGUUAUUGAGAAUGAAAACUGUAUCAGUAUGGUGCUCAUUUCAGGUUUUGGGUAGAGAGUUUACUUUUUUUUUAUUUGAUAUCAAUACUUUAUCUUCACAUGGUUUCUCUGUUUUGUGUACAACUCAAUUUUCAUAUUUAGGUUAUAGGCAGGGAGACUGUAUUAUGAAAUCAAUAGCAAAGCUUAUGAGAUUCUAUGAACAUAAAUCUUUGUGUUUGCUAAUCAGUUAUCCUUAUCUUGAGAAAAAGUAAAGAUGGGUCAAGAUUUGUUCCCCAAUCUUCUAUUCUUUCUUUGACAACUAUCCCUAACC
Long non-coding RNA from Rosa chinensis, 1200 nucleotides. RefSeq lists it as uncharacterized. Lineage: Eukaryota; Viridiplantae; Streptophyta; Magnoliopsida; Rosales; Rosaceae. The record is from RefSeq and is a predicted model, not a curated record. The transcript has 3 exons.